GAUGAACGCUGGCGGCGUGCCUAAUACAUGCAAGUCGAGCGAACAGAUGAGGAGCUUGCUCCUAUGACGCUAGCGGCGGACGGGUGAGUAACACGUGGAUAACCUACAUAUAAGACUGGGAUAACUUCGGGAACCCGGAGCUAAUACAGGAUAAUAUAUUGAACCGCAUGGUUCAAUAGUGAAAGACGGUUUUGCUGUCACUUAUAGAUGGAUCCGCGCCGCAUUAGCUAGUUGGUAAGGUAACGGCUUACCAAGGCAACGAUGCGUAGCCGACCUGAGAGGGUGAUCAGCCACACUGGAACUGAGACACGGUCCAGACUCCUACGGGAGGCAGCAGUAGGGAAUCUUCCGCAAUGGGCGAAAGCCUGACGGAGCAACGCCGCGUGAGUGAUGAAGGUCUUCGGAUCGUAAAACUCUGUUAUUAGGGAAGAACAAAUGUGUAAGUAACUAUGCACGUCUUGACGGUACCUAAACAGAAAGCCACGGCUAACUACGUG
RNAcentral lists this ribosomal RNA (497 nucleotides) under uncultured bacterium. RNAcentral describes it as "partial 16S ribosomal RNA". It matches the Rfam family "Bacterial small subunit ribosomal RNA", at positions 28 to 507 of the family's 1533-position model. The record is from RNAcentral.